AAUAGAGUUCGGUAGGGGAGAUCGGAAUUCCUGGUGAAGCGGUGAAAUGCGCAGAUAUCAGGAGGAACACCGGUGGAGAAGGCGGAUCUAUGGGCAGAUACUGACGUUGAGGAGCGAAAGAGUGGGGAGCGAACAGGAUUAGAUACCUUGGUAGUCCACGCCGUAAACGGUGGGCACUAGGUGUGGGCAACAUUCCACGUUGUCCGUGCCGCAGCUAACGCAUUAAGUGCCCCGCCUGGGGAGUACGGCCGCAAGGCUAAAACUCAAAGGAAUUGACGGGGGCCCGCACAAGCGGCGGAGCAUGUGGCUCAAUUGGACGCAACGCGAAGAACCUUACCAAGGCUUGACAUACACCGGAAAGCAUCAGAGAUGGUGCCCCCCUUGUGGUCGGUGUACAGGUGGUGCACGGCUGUCGUCAGCUCGUGUCGUGAGAUGUUGGGUUAAGUCCCGCAACGAGCGCAACC
RNAcentral lists this ribosomal RNA (464 nucleotides) under Streptomyces tendae. RNAcentral's name for it is "bacterial SSU rRNA". It matches the Rfam family "Bacterial small subunit ribosomal RNA", at positions 640 to 1103 of the family's 1533-position model. The record is from RNAcentral. Lineage: Bacteria; Bacillati; Actinomycetota; Actinomycetes; Kitasatosporales; Streptomycetaceae.